Long non-coding RNA from Vanessa tameamea, 263 nucleotides. RefSeq lists it as uncharacterized. Lineage: Eukaryota; Metazoa; Arthropoda; Insecta; Lepidoptera; Nymphalidae. The record is from RefSeq and is a predicted model, not a curated record. The transcript is spliced from 3 exons.
UCCCUGUCGGCGAGGACAAACGGCAUCGUUGCGGGACGGAACCGACAAAAGGACCGCGUCGGCUUGUCGGCAUUUGGCUGUGAAUCAAACGGUGUUUGCAUUUCUCCGACACUAAGUGCGGUGCAUUGAGGGCGUGAGCGCCUCGCCUGAAUCACCUGCGAUGCCAUCGGUUGUGCAAGGACAGCGCUUCACCAGGCGGGCCGGACGCCUCAGAGUUACAAGAAGAGCAGACGCAGCAUAACCGAAGAAGGUAAUCUCUCCCC